UUUGGUGGCGAUAGCGAAGAGGUCACACCCGUUCCCAUUCCGAACACGGCAGUUAAGCUCUUCAGCGCCAAUGGUAGUUGGGGGUCUCCCCCUGUGAGAGUAGGACGCCGCCAAGC
RNAcentral lists this ribosomal RNA (116 nucleotides) under Peribacillus muralis. The record is from RNAcentral. Lineage: Bacteria; Bacillati; Bacillota; Bacilli; Caryophanales; Bacillaceae.